CUUGUACACACCGCCCGUCACACCAUGAGAGUUUGUAACACCCAAAGUCGGUUGGAUAACCUUUUUAGGAGUCCGCCGCCUAAGGUGGGACAGAUGAUUAGGGUGAAGUCGUAACAAGGUAGCCGUAGGAGAACCUGCGGCUGGAUCACCUCCUUU
RNAcentral lists this ribosomal RNA (156 nucleotides) under Fructilactobacillus sanfranciscensis. RNAcentral's name for it is "Lactobacillus sanfranciscensis partial 16S ribosomal RNA". It matches the Rfam family "Bacterial small subunit ribosomal RNA", at positions 1380 to 1533 of the family's 1533-position model. The record is from RNAcentral. Lineage: Bacteria; Bacillati; Bacillota; Bacilli; Lactobacillales; Lactobacillaceae.